AGAGCACGUGGUGGAUGCCUUGGCGAUGAUAGGCGACGAAGGACGUGAUAGCCUGCGAUAAGCUUCGGGGAGCUGGCAAAUUAGCUUUGAUCCGGAGAUUUCCGAAUGGGGAAACCCACCGAAAGGUAUCGCAUGAUGAAUACAUAGUCAUGCGAGGCGAACCGGGUGAACUGAAACAUCUCAGUAGCUCGAGGAAAAGACAUCAACCGAGAUUCCGAAAGUAGUGGCGAGCGAAAUCGGAGAAGCCUGUUAGUGAUAGCACAAGACAUAACGGAACAGUUUGGAAAGACUGGCCAUAGCGGGUGAUAGCCCCGUACGUGAAAUGACCUGUGUGGUACUGAGCUAACGACAAGUAGGGCGGGACACGAGAAAUCCUGUCUGAAUAUGGGGGGACCAUCCUCCAAGGCUAAAUACUCAUCAUCGACCGAUAGUGAACUAGUACCGUGAGGGAAAGGCGAAAAGAACCCCGGGAGGGGAGUGAAAUAGAUCCUGAAACCGCGUGCUUACAAAAAGUAGGAGCCUCGUAAGGGGUGACUGCGUACCUUUUGUAUAAUGGGUCAGCGACUUACAUUCAGUGGCAAGGUUAACCGAAUAGGGAAGCCGUAGAGAAAUCGAGUCCGAAUAGGGCGAUCAGUCGCUGGGUGUAGACCCGAAACCAAGUGAUCUAUCCAUGGCCAGGAUGAAGGUGCCGUAACAGGUACUGGAGGUCCGAACCGACUAGUGUUGCAAAACUAGCGGAUGAGCUGUGGAUAGGGGUGAAAGGCUAAACAAACUUGGAAAUAGCUGGUUCUCUCCGAAAACUAUUUAGGUAGUGCCUCAAGUAUUACCAUCGGGGGUAGAGCACUGUUUUGGCUAGGGGGUCAUGGCGACUUACCAAACCAAGGCAAACUCCGAAUACCGAUGAGUACAGCUUGGGAGACAGAGCACCGGGUGCUAACGUCCGGACUCAAGAGGGAAACAACCCAGACCGCCAGCUAAGGUCCCUAAAAUUGGCUAAGUGGGAAACGAAGUGGGAAGGCUAAAACAGUCAGGAUGUUGGCUUAGAAGCAGCCAUCAUUUAAAGAAAGCGUAAUAGCUCACUGAUCGAGUCGUCCUGCGCGGAAGAUGUAACGGGGCUAAGCCAGUUACCGAAGCUGCGGAUUUGCAAUUUAUUGCAAGUGGUAGGAGAGCGUUCUGUAAGCCUGUGAAGGUGCGUUGUAAAGCGUGCUGGAGGUAUCAGAAGUGCGAAUGCUGACAUGAGUAGCGUUAAAGGGGGUGAAAAGCCCCCUCGCCGUAAGCGCAAGGUUUUCUACGCAACGUUCAUCGGCGUAGAGUGAGUCGGCCCCUAAGGCGAGGCAGAGAUGCGUAGCUGAUGGGAAACAGGUCAAUAUUCCUGUACCGUUAUAUAGUGCGAUGUGGGGACGGAUCUUAAUAGGUCAUCCGGGUGUUGGAUAUCCCGGUUUAGUUGGAUGUAGGCGUGCAUUAGGCAAAUCCGGUGCACAUAUACCGAGGCCAACGAUCGAGCGGACUUGUCCGUGAAGUGACUGAACGAGGUUCCAGGAAAAGCCACUAAGCUUCAGCUAUAUACGACCGUACCGCAAACCGACACUGGUGCGCGAGAUGAGUAUUCUAAGGCGCUUGAGAGAACUCAGGAGAAGGAACUCGGCAAAUUGACACCGUAACUUCGGAAGAAGGUGUGCCCUAUUAGUGUGUAGUGAACAACGAAGCAUGAAUGGGUUGCAAAAAAUCGGUGGCUGCGACUGUUUAUUAAAAACACAGCACUCUGCAAACACGAAAGUGGACGUAUAGGGUGUGACGCCUGCCCGGUGCUGGAAGAUUAAAUGAUGGGGUGCAAGCUCUUGAUUGAAGUCCCAGUAAACGGCGGCCGUAACUAUAACGGUCCUAAGGUAGCGAAAUUCCUUGUCGGGUAAGUUCCGACCUGCACGAAUGGCGUAACGAUGGCCACACUGUCUCCUCCUGAGACUCAGCGAAGUUGAAAUGUUUGUGAUGAUGCAAUCUCCCCGCGGAAAGACGGAAAGACCCCAUGAACCUUUACUGUAGCUUUGUAUUGGACUUUGAACAGAUCUGUGUAGGAUAGGUGGGAGGCUUUGAAGCAGGGUCGCUAGAUCUUGUGGAGCCAACGUUGAAAUACCACCCUGGUGUGUUUGAGGUUCUAACCUAGGUCCAUUAUCUGGAUCGGGGACA
Molecule: ribosomal RNA, 2184 nt
Filed under: Variovorax sp. JGI 0001020-M05
Lineage: Bacteria; Pseudomonadati; Pseudomonadota; Betaproteobacteria; Burkholderiales; Comamonadaceae
Description: bacterial LSU rRNA
Rfam family: Bacterial large subunit ribosomal RNA
Source: RNAcentral